AGUGAACGCUGGCGGUAUGCCUAACACAUGCAAGUCGAACGGCAGCAUAGUAAGAGCUUGCUCUUACGGGUGUCGAGUGGCGGACGGUUGAGGAAUACAUCGGAAUCUACUUUUUCGGGGGUGAUAACGUAGGGAAACGUACGCUAAUACCGCAUACGACCUACUUGUGAAAGCAGGGGAUCUUCUGACCUUUCGCGAUUGAAUGAGCCGAUGUCGGAUUAGCUAGUUGGCUGGGUAAAGGCGCACCAAGGCGACGAUCCGUAGCUGGUCCGAGAGGAUGAACCGACACACUGGAACUGAGACACGGGCGCGACUCCUAGGGGAGGAAGCGGUGGGGAAUAUUGGGCGAUGGAGGAAAGCCUAAUACAGCAAUACGGCGUGAGUGAAGAAGGACUUAGGGUUGUUGAGCCAUUUUGUUGGGAAAGAAGAGCAGCAGGUUAAUCCCCCGCUGUUAUGACGGUACCCAAAGAAUAAGCACCGGCUAACUUCGUG
Molecule: ribosomal RNA, 492 nt
Filed under: uncultured bacterium
Lineage: Bacteria
Description: partial 16S ribosomal RNA
Rfam family: Bacterial small subunit ribosomal RNA
Source: RNAcentral